AAAAUAUAUUUUUGAUUUUUAUAGUUCUCAAAUUAAUUUUAAUUUUGAAAAAAAAAACAAAAAAUUAUUUUUAUUUUUCUUUUUUGGGUGAUCUGCCUCUAAAAAUUGAGGCGAUGGUACCUCUUAAAAUUUCCUCUUUUUUUCUAAGAUAGGUAAACCCUUCUUUUGUUCUCUAAUUUAUCUCUCUCUCUCUCUCUCUCUCUCUCUCUCUCUCUCUCUUUCUCUCUCUUUCGUUCUGGAAAAACACACAAAUGAGUUCAGAGAAUACAAUCAAGACCCUUUCUCAAUCUCUCUGCAAAUUCGUGGACUUCUCUAAUGGCGAGAUCCAAUCAAGAAGCAAUCGAGACCUUCAUGAGCAUCACCGGCCCGUCCGAGUCAGUCGCCUUGCAAAAACUCGAGCUUUCUGCUUUGUUUUCUGACAAAGGACUUUACAUCCGUGAGGCACACGUGUUCUCAACUACUGGUGGUUAUUCUUUGGAUGUAUUUGUGGUGGAUGGAUGGCCUGUUGAGGAUACAAAGGGAUUAUGUGAAGCUAUGGACAAAGCAAUUGCUAGAAAUGAGAGAUCCAAUUCGAUAAGCAUGGGAAGAUCUCUGGAGCUGCAGUUCGAACAUAUCUUCUUGAAAGAUCGCGUGUUUGCCAAGUCUCUGACCCAGAGAGGAACUACCACUGCUUUUACAUGCUCUGUGCAGCCCCACCUGAAGAUGCAAAGAAAUUCAAACUAGGAGACCCAAAAACAUACCACUAUCUAAAUCAAACCAAUUGUUAUGAAGUGGCAAAUGUGGAUGAUGCAAGGGAAUAUCUGGAGACCAGAAAUGCCAUGGAUAUUGUAGGAAUCAGCUAGGACGAGCAGAUGCGUGUGUGUGAUGCUAUAUUCCGUGUGGUAGCUGCAAUACUUCAUCUUGGAAACAUUGACUUCGUCAAAAGGAAUGAAACAAAUUCUU
Camellia sinensis is the source of this 942-nucleotide non-coding RNA. The record is from RefSeq and is a predicted model, not a curated record. Lineage: Eukaryota; Viridiplantae; Streptophyta; Magnoliopsida; Ericales; Theaceae.